Molecule: small nuclear RNA, 106 nt
Organism: Saimiri boliviensis boliviensis (Bolivian squirrel monkey)
Lineage: Eukaryota; Metazoa; Chordata; Mammalia; Primates; Cebidae
Source: Ensembl
GUGCUUGCUUUAGCAGCACAUAUACUGAAAUUGGAACAAAAGAGAGAAGGUGAGCAUUGCACCGUGCAAGGAUGACAUGCUAAUUUGUGAAACAGUCUAUAAAACA